RNAcentral lists this ribosomal RNA (454 nucleotides) under uncultured bacterium. RNAcentral describes it as "bacterial SSU rRNA". It matches the Rfam family "Bacterial small subunit ribosomal RNA", at positions 28 to 478 of the family's 1533-position model. The record is from RNAcentral.
GACGAACGCUGGCGGCGUGCCUAACACAUGCAAGUCGAACGAGAAUCUUUGGAAUGAUUCUUUCGGGAUGAAUUCCAAAGAGGAAAGUGGCGGACGGGCGAGUAACGCGUGAGUAACCUGCCCAUAAGAGGGGGAUAAUCCAUGGAAACGUGGACUAAUACCGCAUAUUGUAGUUAAGUUGCAUGACUUGAUUAUGAAAGAUUUAUCGCUUAUGGAUGGACUCGCGUCAGAUUAGAUAGUUGGUGAGGUAACGGCUCACCAAGUCAACGAUCUGUAGCCGAACUGAGAGGUCGAUCGGCCGCAUUGGGACUGAGACACGGCCCAGACUCCUACGGGAGGCAGCAGUGGGGAAUAUUGCGCAAUGGGGGCAACCCUGACGCAGCAACGCCGCGUGCAGGAAGAAGGUCUUCGGAUUGUAAACUGUUGUCGCAAGGGAAGAAGACAGUGACGGUAC